Molecule: ribosomal RNA, 450 nt
Filed under: uncultured bacterium
Lineage: Bacteria
Description: SSU rRNA
Rfam family: Bacterial small subunit ribosomal RNA
Source: RNAcentral
AGAGCGAACGCUGGCGGCAGGCCUAACACAUGCAAGUCGAGCGCCCGUAGCAAUACGGGAGCGGCAGACGGGAUAGUAACACGUGGGAACGCGCCCUUCGGUUCGGAAUAACUCAGGGAAACUUGAGCUAAUACCGAAUACGCCCUUACGGGGAAAGAUUUAUUGCCGAAGGAACGGCCCGCGUCCGAUUAGCUAGUUGGUGAGGUAAUGGCUCACCAAGGCUACGAUCGGUAGCUGGUCUGAGAGGAUGACCAGCAUCACUGGGACUGAGACACGGCCCAGACUCCUACGGGAGGCAGCAGUGGGGAAUAUUGGACAAUGGGCGCAAGCCUGAUCCAGCCAUGCCGCGUGGAUGAUGAAGGCCUUAGGGUUGUAAAGUCCGUUUUAAACGGGGAAGAUAAUGACGGUACCCGUAGAAUAAGCCCCGGCUAACUUCGUGCCAGCAGCCGC